This 558-nucleotide ribosomal RNA is filed under the name Escherichia coli. RNAcentral describes it as "bacterial LSU rRNA". It matches the Rfam family "Bacterial large subunit ribosomal RNA", at positions 16 to 613 of the family's 2925-position model. Lineage: Bacteria; Pseudomonadati; Pseudomonadota; Gammaproteobacteria; Enterobacterales; Enterobacteriaceae. The record is from RNAcentral.
CGUACACGGUGGAUGCCCUGGCAGUCAGAGGCGAUGAAGGACGUGCUAAUCUGCGAUAAGCGUCGGUAAGGUGAUAUGAACCGUUAUAACCGGCGAUUUCCGAAUGGGGAAACCCAGUGUGUUUCGACACACUAUCAUUAACUGAAUCCAUAGGUUAAUGAGGCGAACCGGGGGAACUGAAACAUCUAAGUACCCCGAGGAAAAGAAAUCAACCGAGAUUCCCCCAGUAGCGGCGAGCGAACGGGGAGCAGCCCAGAGCCUGAAUCAGUGUGUGUGUUAGUGGAAGCGUCUGGAAAGGCGCGCGAUACAGGGUGACAGCCCCGUACACAAAAAUGCACAUAUUGUGAGCUCGAUGAGUAGGGCGGGACACGUGGUAUCCUGUCUGAAUAUGGGGGGACCAUCCUCCAAGGCUAAAUACUCCUGACUGACCGAUAGUGAACCAGUACCGUGAGGGAAAGGCGAAAAGAACCCCGGCGAGGGGAGUGAAAAAGAACCUGAAACCGUGUACGUACAAGCAGUGGGAGCACGCUUAGGCGUGUGACUGCGUACCUUUUGUAU